Molecule: long non-coding RNA, 2243 nt
Organism: Polyodon spathula (Mississippi paddlefish)
Lineage: Eukaryota; Metazoa; Chordata; Actinopteri; Acipenseriformes; Polyodontidae
Exons: 4
Source: RefSeq, a predicted model, not a curated record
CAGCUUUGACAUGAGGAUCCCGCCCACUGUCGGUCUGAAGGAAUUUGAAGAGCAGAUUAAAGCGUGGUGUGAGGCCGCUGGGGAAGGUGUCACCUAUCAGUUUGCACAGGCAACUGGGGGGCACCCCCCCUUCAAAAGAGAAAGCAGACACUGGUCCACUACGGAGGACCUCCUUGACUUGCAAGUAAUCAGCUGAAAAAUGUCUCUCAGCUACACGCUUCCCAAGGUCGAAACCCAGUCAGCAUCUCGACUGCCGCAGACAAAAGUCCUCCGAGAUGGAGGUGAGCGUUCAGUUCAGCUAGACUACGUGCUGCUGUGGAAUGUCAACUGUCUUUGAUUUCCUCAUCAAGAAAGUGAUAUGAGUCUGUGACCUUUCAACUCUGUCAGCACCAUCUGCUCUAUCCACCACAAGUUAAUGCAAUAUAACUAUAUCAUAAUAAUCUCAUCUAUUCUAAUAUACUAUACUUUACUACACCAAAGAACAAGUGGAGCCAAAAAAAAAAACUACACAAGUCACAGCCUCAGUUUCAUUUGAUGGUCUCUCAUUGCGUCAGGAGUCGUAUGGUAUUCCAGGCAGUCAUGUUGUCAUGGUAAUGAUGUUGGUUCCAGCUUCCCAUGAUAAAAGUCUCAGAAAGAUUCAAAGCCAUCGGAGUCUGUCCACACAUCAGCUUUGUGUACAGUUCAGACCUUUGGUCUAGUGGCACACAUACACGCACGCCAUACUAGCCGCAGCUGGCACGCCCUUAACCCACCGUAAAAAUGAAAGCACUUUCACAGACUCAUCCACACAGAUGUACGCAAACAAAUACACACAGUCACAAAGUGAUUACUGCCGUCAAGCUGUGAUAAAAAUGAAAAGAAGCUGGUUUGCUAUCUUGCACUGACACUGUGCAGCCGCUACCCUCUCAGAGAUAGGAAAUUGCAUUGCAGAGAUUUUUGUUGUGUUUUUUUUCUUUCCCCUAGACGGAACUUUAUGAAACAUUGGCAUGUUCCAUAAUUUUUCGCUGGUCAUAAAAGAGAAGAGCCAGAGAAGAUAAUAACAAUAAAAUAAAAAACAAACAAAUAAAAAGCACUCUGGGCUCUGUUGCUAUUCUCUUUCCCAUUGUCUCACUCUCUGUGCGUCUCGCGCUCCCUUUCCAAAUCUGGGGUUAAUGUUCUGUGAAAGAAGAUAACUAUCUGAAAAUACAUAUACUGCCUGUAGCUUUUUAUUUUUUUAGGCAGAUAAUUUACCAGCUAUUAAAUUAUUACUCAGUUGCUGUCUCCAAAUUGUUCUCCUGCCCCUGGGCACAUGAGGAUGAAAUUCUGACAGGGUUAAGUAUCAGGAAAGAAAGAAAAUAAAAGCGUUCUUUACAUGAGAGCAGUUUCAACAGAGAAAUAUAAAGACUGCUGCUUUUUCCUAGUGGCAGAGGUCCGUACACACUACGUAAUUGCUGAGAGAGAAUGAUUUGGAUGUACUGGUUUAACUGGAGUCCAGUGAUCUGGUCUGCGGUUCUAAACUGAUAACAGAAGAGCAGGAGGAAUGUUACUGUUUUGAGAACACAUGGGGAGGGGGCUGUGAGAUACACUGAUGUUACGGUUCUGUCCUGUCCCCUAUCGGUGAGAUGCGAUGAGCUUGAAAGCUGCUUUCCUAGUUUGAGCUUCUCCUGAGGCAUUGCCAUGCGUUCACACAGAUGGUGUCUUGUGGUUUGUCACGGACCUCAGUCCCUGAAUCUUAUUCCCAUUCAGCCCUUUCGGCUCUGGAUGGCCAGGUAGAUCUGGGCUGGGAGAGCUGAGGCUGUGGAGAGCAGGGUGCUCAUAGGGAGUCAUCUCUGUGAAGCACAGACGACCUCGCUGGGUAUUUCUACAGUAUGUGUGUCCAAUACUGAGACUGAGAUCUCAUAGAAAAAUAUUAAAACUAAUACAGAGCGACAGCCAGAUUUCGCUUUCAAAUAUCGAGUUAAAGAUGCUCUCUAUUCCAUGUUGGCUUUUUAAAAUGUAUUUAUUUUUGUUUAGCAAGAACCUAAUUUACCCACAACUAGGGCUGUAAUUUAUUCACAGUACUAAAAAUGCUAAUUUCUCAGUCUAAAAAAAGGUAUUUCAAGAUAUUUCACCAUUAAACAUAAUAUGUAUCAAAGCUUUAAAAAAAACAGCCUUGUCACAUUUAAAACUGACCAUUUUCUCAAGCUAUUAUACAACAAAUGCUCCUACAUAUUAAAAUGUUUGCCUGAAAAACAAUAAAGUACGUUUAAAUUGUAGACUGUUUA